This 705-nucleotide ribosomal RNA is filed under the name uncultured cyanobacterium. Its description in RNAcentral is "bacterial SSU rRNA". It matches the Rfam family "Bacterial small subunit ribosomal RNA", at positions 99 to 803 of the family's 1533-position model. The record is from RNAcentral. Lineage: Bacteria; Bacillati; Cyanobacteriota.
CGGACGGGUGAGUAACGCGUGAAUUACAUGCCCUUCAGUGGGGAAUAGCCCAGGGAAACUUGGAUUAAUACCCCAUGGCAUCGCAAGAUUAAAGGUGGCCGCAAGGCUGUCGCUGAAGGAUUGGUUCGCGCCCUAUCAGCUUGUUGGUGAGGUAACGGCUCACCAAGGCUACGACGGGUACCUGGUCUGAGAGGACGAUCAGGCACACUGGAACUGAGACACGGUCCAGACACCUACGGGUGGCAGCAGUCGAGAAUAAUUCACAAUGGGGGAAACCCUGAUGGUGCAACGCCGCGUGGAGGAUGACGGUCCUCGGAUUGUAAACUCCUGUCAUCUGGGAGUAAGACCUGGCUGUGAAUAGCAGACAGGGUUGAUAGUACCAGAAGAGGAAGGGACGGCUAACUUCGUGCCAGCAGCCGCGGUAAUACGAAGGUCCCAAGCGUUGUUCGGAAUCACUGGGCGUAAAGGGAGCGUAGGCUGCAUGGUAAGUCAGAUGUGAAAUCCCGGGGCUCAACCCCGGAACUGCAUCCGAUACUGCCAUGCUUGAGGAUUGGAGAGGUAGCUGGAAUUCUCGGUGUAGCAGUGAAAUGCGUGGAGAUCGAGAGGAACACUCGUGGCGAAAGCGAGCUACUGGACAAUAUCUGACGCUGAGGCUCGAAGGCCAGGGUAGCGAAAGGGAUUAGAUACCCCGGUAGUCNAGAGGGG